GUGGAUUAGAUACCCUGGUAGUCCACGCCGUAAACGAUGGAUACUAGCUGUUGGGGGCAACUUCAGUGGCUAAGCGAAAGUGAUAAGUAUCCCACCUGGGGAGUACGUUCGCAAGAAUGAAACUCAAAGGAAUUGACGGGGGCCCGCACAAGCGGUGGAGCAUGUGGUUUAAUUCGAUGAUACGCGAGGAACCUUACCAAGGCUUAAAUGUAGAUUGACAGAUUUGGAAACAGAUUUUUCUUCGGACAAUUUACAAGGUGCUGCACGGCCGUCGCCAACU
Molecule: ribosomal RNA, 280 nt
Filed under: uncultured bacterium
Lineage: Bacteria
Description: partial 16S ribosomal RNA
Rfam family: Bacterial small subunit ribosomal RNA
Source: RNAcentral